AUCUACAGCUGUAGCACCCCGAAUAUGCCGGAUCUCAUCUGAUCUUGGAAGCUAAGCAGGGUAGGGCCUGUUUAGUACUUGGAAGGGAGAAGACUACUAUGGAUAACUGAAGUUC
RNAcentral lists this ribosomal RNA (115 nucleotides) under Fukomys damarensis (Damara mole-rat). The record is from RNAcentral. Lineage: Eukaryota; Metazoa; Chordata; Mammalia; Rodentia; Bathyergidae.